GUCUUAAUAGCUCAGCCGGAUAGAGCGUAUGAUUCCUAAUCAUAAGGCCGCAGGUUCAAGUCCUGCUUAGGACACCA
RNAcentral lists this transfer RNA (77 nucleotides) under Helicobacter sp. 11S02629-2. Its description in RNAcentral is "tRNA-Arg". It matches the Rfam family "tRNA". Rfam says of the family: Transfer RNA (tRNA) molecules are approximately 80 nucleotides in length. Their secondary structure includes four short double-helical elements and three loops (D, anti-codon, and T loops). Further hydrogen bonds mediate the characteristic L-shaped molecular structure. tRNAs have two regions of fundamental functional importance: the anti-codon, which is responsible for specific mRNA codon recognition, and the 3' end, to which the tRNAs corresponding amino acid is attached (by aminoacyl-tRNA synthetases). tRNAs cope with the degeneracy of the genetic code in two manners: having more than one tRNA (with a specific anti-codon) for a particular amino acid; and 'wobble' base-pairing, i.e. permitting non-standard base-pairing at the 3rd anti-codon position. The record is from RNAcentral. RNAcentral also lists the same sequence under 1 other name. Lineage: Bacteria; Pseudomonadati; Campylobacterota; Epsilonproteobacteria; Campylobacterales; Helicobacteraceae.